Molecule: ribosomal RNA, 371 nt
Filed under: uncultured bacterium
Lineage: Bacteria
Description: bacterial SSU rRNA
Rfam family: Bacterial small subunit ribosomal RNA
Source: RNAcentral
ACGUAGGGGGCCAGCGUUGCUCGGAAUUACUGGGCGUAAAGGGUUCGUAGGCGGUGUGGCAAGUCGGAAGUGAAAUCUCCAGGCUUAACUUGGAGGCUGCUCCCGAAACUGCCAUGCUAGAGUGCGGGAGAGGCGAGUGGAAUUGCAGGUGUAGCGGUGAAAUGCGUAGAUAUCUGCAGGAACACCCGUGGCGAAGGCGGCUCGCUGGACCGCAACUGACGCUGAGGAACGAAAGCUAGGGGAGCAAACAGGAUUAGAUACCCUGGUAGUCCUAGCCCUAAACGAUCAGGACUUGGGGUGCAUCCCGUUGGGGGUGCGUCCCGUAGCUAACGCGUUAAGUCCUGCGCCUGGGGAGUACGGUCGCAAGGCUG